RNAcentral lists this ribosomal RNA (482 nucleotides) under Veillonella parvula. RNAcentral describes it as "bacterial SSU rRNA". It matches the Rfam family "Bacterial small subunit ribosomal RNA", at positions 28 to 481 of the family's 1533-position model. The record is from RNAcentral. Lineage: Bacteria; Bacillati; Bacillota; Negativicutes; Veillonellales; Veillonellaceae.
GACGAACGCGGCGGCGUGCUUAACACAUGCAAGUCGAACGAAGAGCGAUGGAAGCUUGCUUCUAUCAAUCUUAGUGGCGAACGGGUGAGUAACGCGUAAUCAACCUGCCCUUCAGAGGGGGACAACAGUUGGAAACGACUGCUAAUACCGCAUACGAUCUAACCUCGGCAUCGAGGAAAGAUGAAAGGUGGCCUCUAUUUAUAAGCUAUCACUGAAGGAGGGGAUUGCGUCUGAUUAGCUAGUUGGAGGGGUAACGGCCCACCAAGGCGAUGAUCAGUAGCCGGUCUGAGAGGAUGAACGGCCACAUUGGGACUGAGACACGGCCCAGACUCCUACGGGAGGCAGCAGUGGGGAAUCUUCCGCAAUGGACGAAAGUCUGACGGAGCAACGCCGCGUGAGUGAUGACGGCCUUCGGGUUGUAAAGCUCUGUUAAUCGGGACGAAAGGCCUUCUUGCGAACAGUUAGAAGGAUUGACGUACCGG